AGUGGACAUAUGGUUGCUCCUUCAGGUAGCUAUAAUUACCCUCUCUAUAAUGCAAUAUCGUAUUAUCCAUUUGUAAUGAAUGAUAGUAACACUAAAUCGGAUUGGAUUCAGUUAAAUCUACAUUUCUCAAGGUCUCUAACAUCGAGAUUUGAAAUAUCUUUCAUGUAAAUACCUUCUUUGUCAUGUGACUUGUAUAUAUUCGUGUAUAUUCAGAAUCGUACCUACGCACAAUGUCUUUGAACAAUGGCACAAGCAACGUGGUCUCUUUCUGUAAAACAUAGCACUCUUUAUUUCAGCCACAGCAAAGAUCCCGAACCACGUGCAGUCAGCAGAGUUACAGCGUCUGGUUACCGUCUUGCAGUUACGAUACAGAAUAUGUGCACAUAGCUUUCAAUGACCAGACGAAAAAAAGAAUUCAUUUCAAAUAUGUUGAGAAGAAAACGACCCAUCUCUGAAAAAAUCACCUCACCCAAGAAAAUACGACUCAUUCAUGAGAAUGAAAAGUGCAAAGUCUCCCAAGAAAUUGUCUUGUAAUAUAGCAUGUGAAUAAAUAUUUUUUUGAAAUAUCUCACGAAAUUAGUUUUAUUUUAUUGCUUGUAAUCAUGUGAACUAAAAAUGUUUGUUUUGAGGAAAAAGGUCAUUUGAAGCAACUCCAGGUUAAACUAUCCAAUGAUUGAAUCUUAUUUCUCCUGAAUUAAAAUAAUUCUGCUAAAUAUUACUGCAGAAAAAAAUUCGGCCAGAAAUUUCUGUAGAAAAAAAAAAAUUCGGCCAGAAAUUUCUGUAGAAAAAAAAAAUACUGCCAGAAAUUUCUGCAG
Haliotis rufescens (red abalone) is the source of this 815-nucleotide long non-coding RNA. RefSeq lists it as uncharacterized. The transcript is spliced from 3 exons. NCBI's taxonomy places the organism in Eukaryota, Metazoa, Mollusca, Gastropoda, Lepetellida, Haliotidae. The record is from RefSeq and is a predicted model, not a curated record.